This 253-nucleotide ribosomal RNA is filed under the name uncultured bacterium. RNAcentral's name for it is "partial 16S ribosomal RNA". It matches the Rfam family "Bacterial small subunit ribosomal RNA", at positions 524 to 776 of the family's 1533-position model. The record is from RNAcentral.
UACGUAGGGGGCAAGCGUUAUCCGGAUUUACUGGGUGUAAAGGGAGCGUAGACGGAAUUGCAAGUCUGAUGUGAAAAUCCGGGGCCCAACCCCGGAACUGCAUUGGAAACUGUAUUUCUAGAGUGUCGGAGAGGCAAGUGGAAUUCCUGGUGUAGCGGUGAAAUGCGUAGAUAUCAGGAGGAACACCAGUGGCGAAGGCGGCUUGCUGGACGGUGACUGACGUUGAGGCUCGAAAGCGUGGGGAGCAAACAGG